UUGAACGCUGGCGGCAUGCUUUACACAUGCAAGUCGAGCGGCAGCGCGGGGGCAACCCUGGCGGCGAGCGGCGAACGGGUGAGUAAUGCAUCGGAACGUAUCCUCGAGUGGGGGAUAACCCAGCGAAAGUUGGGCUAAUACCGCAUGAGCUCUGAGGAGGCAAGCGGGGGACCUGCGAGGGCCUCGCGCUGGAGGAGCGGCCGAUGUCCGAUUAGCUAGUUGGUGGGGUAAAGGCUUACCAAGGCGACGAUCGGUAGCUGGUCUGAGAGGAUGAUCAGCCACACUGGGACUGAGACACGGCCCAGACUCCUACGGGAGGCAGCAGUGGGGAAUUUUGGACAACGGGGGCAACCCUGAUCCAGCCAUGCCGCGUGAGUGAAGAAGGCCUUCGGGUUGUAAAGCUCUUUCGGACGGAACGAAAUGGGCGGGACUAAUACUCCUGUCUGAUGACGGUACCGUAAGAAGAAGCACCGGCUAACUACGUG
This 485-nucleotide ribosomal RNA is filed under the name uncultured bacterium. RNAcentral describes it as "partial 16S ribosomal RNA". It matches the Rfam family "Bacterial small subunit ribosomal RNA", at positions 29 to 507 of the family's 1533-position model. The record is from RNAcentral.